GCUUAAAGGGGCCGUAGCUGGCUGAACAAGUCCCCUGUUAAACCCACCGAUUUAAUCGUUGGCUUGCGGGGGAUACUGCUCGGCUAGGGGACGAGAGAGGCAGACGGUAUUCCCGGGGUAGGGGUGAAAUCCUAUAAUCCCGAGAAGACCACCAGUGGCGAAGGCUGUCUGCUAGAACGCGCCCGACGGUGAGGGAUGAAAGCUGGGGGAGCGAACCGGAUUAGAUACCCGGGUAGUCCCAGCUGUAAACGAUGCAGGCUAGGUGUUUGGACGGCCACGUGCCGUUCUAGUGCCGCAGGGAAGCUGUUAAGCCUGCCGCCUGGGGAGUACGGUCGCAAGAUUGAAACUUAAAGGAAUUGGCGGGGGAGCACCACAAGGGGUGAAGCUUGCGGUUUAAUUGGAGUCAACGCCGGAAAUCUCACCAGGAGCGACAGCAGAGUGAAGGCCAGAUUAAAGGUCUUGCUGGACGAGCUGAGAGGAGGUGCAUGGCCGUCGCCAGUUCGUGCCGUGAGGUGUCCUGUUAAGUCAGGCAACGAUCGAGACCCGCGUCCUCUGUUGCUACCAGUCUUGUGCUGGGCACACUGAGGAGACCGCCACUGAUAAAGUGGAGGAAGGAGCGGGCCACGGCAGGUCCGUAUGCCCCUAA
Molecule: ribosomal RNA, 646 nt
Filed under: uncultured archaeon
Lineage: Archaea
Description: bacterial SSU rRNA
Rfam family: Archaeal small subunit ribosomal RNA
Source: RNAcentral